Molecule: microRNA precursor, 52 nt
Filed under: Marmota monax (woodchuck)
Lineage: Eukaryota; Metazoa; Chordata; Mammalia; Rodentia; Sciuridae
Source: RNAcentral
UUCUCAGGAUAAGUAUGUCUCAUUCAAUAUUUGGGUGAUACUUAUAUCAAAA